Molecule: non-coding RNA, 176 nt
Filed under: Affinundibacterium cyanobacteriorum
Lineage: Bacteria; Pseudomonadati; Pseudomonadota; Betaproteobacteria; Burkholderiales; Oxalobacteraceae
Description: Undibacterium sp. 20NA77.5 6S RNA
Rfam family: 6S / SsrS RNA
About the family: E. coli 6S RNA was the first non coding RNA to be sequenced, but its function was unknown until recently. It consists of 184 nucleotides that fold into an extended hairpin structure with a large single-stranded internal bulge.
Source: RNAcentral
AGUCUCCUACCGUGUUCGCCAGGCCAUAUAUUCCUUGAACCAUUUAUGUGCAUAGGCUGAGGAAAUUGUUCAAUGGCGUGAGCGUCGCUUAUGUCCGAUGAACCCGAUUUGAACUGACCUUGGCCAACUUGAACCGCCAGGUUCAGGAUGCCGGCCAGCGGCAUAGGUGGGGCCUU